UGCAAGUCGAACGAAGCUUGAGGAAUGAUUCUUCGGAAUGAAAUCUGAUAUGACUGAGUGGCGGACGGGUGAGUAACGCGUGAGCAACCUGCCCUUAGGUGAGGGAUAGUGUCUGGAAACGGACAGUAAUACCUCAUAAUAUAUUUGGAUGGCAUCAUCUGAAUAUCAAAGGUUUACUGCCUAAGGAUGGGCUCGCGUCUGAUUAGAUAGUUGGUGGGGUAACGGCCUACCAAGUCGACGAUCAGUAGCCGGACUGAGAGGUUGAACGGCCACAUUGGGACUGAGACACGGCCCAGACUCCUACGGGAGGCAGCAGUGGGGAAUAUUGCACAAUGGGGGAAACCCUGAAUGCAGCAACGCCGCGUGGAGGAAGACGGUUUUCGGAUUGUAAACUCCUGUUCUUAGGGAAGAAGCAAGUGACGGUACCUAAGGAGCAAGCCACGGCUAACUACGUGCCAGCCGCGGC
This 466-nucleotide ribosomal RNA is filed under the name uncultured bacterium. RNAcentral's name for it is "bacterial SSU rRNA". It matches the Rfam family "Bacterial small subunit ribosomal RNA", at positions 56 to 518 of the family's 1533-position model. The record is from RNAcentral.